GACGAACGCUGGCGGCGUGCUUAACACAUGCAAGUCGAACGGAAAGGCCCUGCUUUUGUGGGGUGUUCGAGUGGCGAACGGGUGUGUAACACGUGAGUAACCUGCCCUUGACUUUGGGAUAACUUCAGGAAACUGGGGCUAAUACCGGAUAGGAGCUCCUGCUGCAUGGUGGGGGUUGGACAGUUUCGGCGGUUGGGGAUGGACUCGCGGCUUAUCAGCUUGUUGGUGGGGUAGUGGCUUACCAAGGCUUUGACGGGUAGCCGACCUGAGAGGGUGACCGGCCACAAUGGGACGGAGAUACGGCCCAGACUCCUACGGGAGGCAGCAGUGGGGAAUAUUGCACAAUGGGCGGAAGCCUGAUACAGCAACGCCGCGUGCGGGAUAACGGCCUUCGGGUUGUAAACCGCUUUCGCCUGUGACGAAGCGUGAGUGGCGGUAAUGAGUAAAGAAACACCGGCUAACUACGUG
Molecule: ribosomal RNA, 468 nt
Filed under: uncultured bacterium
Lineage: Bacteria
Description: partial 16S ribosomal RNA
Rfam family: Bacterial small subunit ribosomal RNA
Source: RNAcentral